This 1097-nucleotide long non-coding RNA is filed under the name Homo sapiens (human). RNAcentral's name for it is "non-protein coding LINC00599:12". Lineage: Eukaryota; Metazoa; Chordata; Mammalia; Primates; Hominidae. The record is from RNAcentral.
GCAGUGAUGUCAACCGCAUCCGCCGCAGUCCCCGGCAGCCCUAAAACGCGCCGCGGCCCGCGGAAACCCCAGCCCGGCUCCUCCCGCCAGGGCCGAGGAGGAGAGGACGCGCGGGUCCCCGGAGUCCCCCACUCCGUCUGCCUAAGCCGUGGAGACCGGGAGUGGACGCACGGCGGUGCCUGGACCCCCGGGGAGGUGGAAGAAGAGGAGAGGGAAGGGAGCUGUGGAGUCAGGUGUCGAUUUGACGCCCGCGGCCGCCGAGGGGACUCUGCCCGGCACUGGUGCCGCCUGGGGGGCGUUCAGGGAGCGUGGGGCGCCGACCGCUGCAGAUGCGGCGGCGCGCGUGGGCUCGGGCAGGCGCCCCCUUUUCCCGGGAUAGAAACGGAUAAACGGAAGCGCGUGUGAGUGUGGGGGUGCGAAUCGCCACCUCCGGCCUUGGCUUUCCCGCUCUUCCGAGCUCUCCCACUUCUCACUUUCCCCAAAUCCGCAUUUUCCUUGGCACAGCUCUCCCCGAGCACGAAGGAGAGGGAGGUACCCGGGGGCAGUGAGAAUGACGUGUGCUGGUGCAGAGGGGGUGGGGGUCUGCGGGCCUGGAUCUGUGGACGGGCUCCUAAUCCUCUUGUUUUCGGAACCGUCAGCAGAUGCGGCUUCCUUUACCUGAAUAAUCCUUUAAAGGAGUAAUAAUUUUUAAAAAGGAGCUCGACCUCAGCCAAAGAGGACGGCGCACGAGAUUAGGGCUUGGUAAGGAAAAAUUAAAAGGCUCCCAAUUCUCUCUGUCCCUCUCUGCCUUCCCCUCUACCCCUCCCCCUCCCUCCUCCACCCUCCCCUCCCCUCCCCCUUCUUCCUCAUCCCCUGCAAUCCGCGCUCGACGCGAGUUCACGCGAAGGGCUGGAUUUCCAGGCGGCUCCGCAACUUGCGCGGCGCGGUGUUAUUAUUCAUCCGAGGGUGCUGCCUCCUCAACCUUUGCCUCCUGCGCCGCUCUCCUUCCCCCGGCCGCCGCCGCCAGCAGUGCAGUCCCUCCGGCACGCAUGCUCUGGUUCACCAAGAGGGAGACUGAUUUUUUUUAAAUCAUGCUCAUCAUCAUCAUCAUCAUCAUC